CCUGGUAGCUCAGCUGGUAAAGAAUCUGCCUGCAGUGCAGAAGACCUGGGUUCAAUUCCUGGGUCAGGA
This 69-nucleotide transfer RNA is filed under the name Ovis aries (sheep). It matches the Rfam family "tRNA". Rfam says of the family: Transfer RNA (tRNA) molecules are approximately 80 nucleotides in length. Lineage: Eukaryota; Metazoa; Chordata; Mammalia; Artiodactyla; Bovidae. The record is from Rfam by way of RNAcentral.